ACUUGUGUCGUCGCCAGACUUGUGUGUGCGCGUGUGUGUGUGAAGGAAGUGGGGGGUGCAUGCAUGUGGGAAUGCAUGUGCUUGUUUAUCUGUGUAAAAGCACGGAAGGAACGGGAGGUAGGGAGGGUGAGAGAGGGGGAGAGAUUUGUAAGGCACUUGUAUUUGCAAACUACUGGCUGAGUUCCCACUAGAGGCAGAGAGAUCACGCUGAAAGACUGCGUGUCAGGAGUGUGUGUGUGUGUGUGUGGGAGAGACAUGCAGACAGUGAGCGAGAGGAACCCGUUCAACUCAUUUCAGCAGUGAAUUCUCAGCCCGUCUAAACGAGCUUUCUCCUCACAUAUGGAAGCUUUUUGCUCUCGCGUUUGAUUUUUCCCUCCUAACGUCGCCACAGUUUCACGCUGCCGCUGAACUUUUGGUCGCACUUGACGUAAGUAUUUGAACUCUUCGUCUGUCUUUUUCAAUUCCAGCGUGACGGAUUCAAGCAUGUUUUCACUCUUUCUGCUGUACUUUCAAAUUGGAGCAUGAGUCCAUUCAAAAUCUCACUCAAACUAACAGCUGCUAUUUUAUUUAAACAUUUGUUAAACUAGUAAAAACAAGAGAAAGAAAUGUUUUCAUUUCCAGCUAAAGCAGCACUCUUUACCUGGUGCUUGGUACGGUUCGUCCAAAACUGUGAAAGCAGACAGAGGCUGUGUGUGUGUGUGUGUGUGUGUGUGUGUGUGUGUGUGUGUGUGUGUGUGUGUGUGUGUGUGUGUGUGUGUGUGUUAGGGGGGGCAGAGGGAUUAUGUGUGCGGGACAAAGUGUGCAAAUUGUGAAGCGUCUGCGUGUCUGUCUGUCUGUCUGGAUAUUCCUUUUUCUUCACCUCAGCUUGCUCUGUGGGAAUACGGGGCUCGUCAGCAGUGUUUGAGUGGGGAGGAACUGAGGCAGACGGCGCACAAAAGCAAGCAGAGGCCGGCCAGACAGGGCAGGUCAGCCAUUAGAGGCUGCAGUGGAGGGACGGGUCAGCCAGCUGCUGCUGCUGCUCCGUGAGGGGAAGGGAGGUGACACCCCGGCUUUAGCACGAGGGUUAGAGUGGUCGGGGUUAAGGGGGUGUCCACGCUUUGCUUCAUGACCGCCUCUCGGCGUGCUCACCUUGCAAUUCUCCCGCUUUGAGAAACCCCCAGAAUGCUUUGCUCAUUCAGCAGGCAGAGGAUGCAUCAGUUGAAUGAGCUAAAAAUAAUUUGCCGUGCUGUCACAGUUAAAUGUUCUCUUUGUGUAGAAGAAAUACUGACGCUGUCCAAUUCAAAAUGUCAAUAAGUUAAGAAAGGCAGCAAAGGAAGAGUAAAUGUAGGAGGUGGUUUAAUAUAGAUGCUGACAAAAGAGGAAGGAUAAAAGAAACUGCGAUUUCACACAGGCUGGUUUUUUCUAUUCCCUUUUUCGUUGGUUCCCCCGCCAGCUCGCGUGGGGGUCGCUGGUUUUGGAAUGCAUUUGGUAACAGGAAAUGCAGGCCGUCCCAGGUUUUUUUUGUCCCGGUCUGCUUUUGUCCAAAGCUUUUAAUCCACUGCAAAAAAAAAAAAAAAAAAAAAAAGCUACGUGCGUGAGGGGUAGCAACAACAACUGACAAAAACAUCUCCCCGGAUCACAGAUGUGCAUCAUGGCUGCUGCAGGAAAACACAUCCACAGCCCUCACACGGGCUUAACACCAGCUCGCACAUACAGACGCUAAAAUAAAGUGUGGGCUGGUGAUGACAAAGAAAAAGCAGCUGUUACAGACGAGUGUAAUCGCUUUAGGGCUAAAACCGACGGUGACAACAAAACAGUCGCGGUCUGGAAAAGAUUAAUUUCAAAUACAGAAGUGGACGAGCACAGAGUCGUUCUGUGAAAUGCCUCUACAUGUAGAGUCUUGUUAGCCAGAUACACAUCUCAGCCCUCACCACCGGCAGCUGAUGUUGUACACUCUGUAGCCUCCAAUCAACACGAGCUUUGAGUGGAAACUACACUCUUCGGCCCACAUGCAGCUGCUAACACAAGGGUUUUGUCUGCAUGCGAGGACUUUGUUGACUGUUACAGGAUCGCAUGUUACAGAGUCCUGUGCUGACAGACUGAUAACGUGAACUCGAGGGAUUCUUUGUGUUUUUUAGGAUUCUUGGUGCUUCGAGUCCGGUUAUCACUUGUUGAUUGGCUGAUCAGUUCAGGAAGGCAGCGGUUGUGUAAGUGCGACCUGUGCUCUGGAUGGACUUUGGUCCCAAGCUUGGAGCUGUGUAAACCCCUCUGUGCCCUCGCAGGCCCGUGUGUGCGAUAUACAUACACACAUGUGUGUAUAUGUGGCUUUGAAUAGAAACCAGACAGCGAUGCCUCCUCCACCCCUCCCAUCCACCUCCUCUGUCACCACUCCCGCGCGGGACAAUGAGGAUUUGUUGACGCUCUGCCACAAGCCUGCUGACACAAAGCGUAUAGCCUCCCCAGACCCCAGCCCGGAGCGGAGCAGGCUGAAGCGUAGGCAGGCAGGACACCAGCAGGAGGGCCCCGGGAUUGGGGGGGACAGUGGGGGCAUUUUGCAGAGGUGGGAUUAGCAGACGAGAGCUCGGGGUUGGGGGAAGGGGGCCCGAAAUGAACAGGAAAUUACAGCCUUUGAUGAGGCAGAGGCAGAUUUGCGCAGGCUGAACUCCUCUGGGCCUUUUCCCUCUGCUUAAAAAAAUCCUGUUUGAGCUGAAAAUGUCAAAACACUUCAAGCCCGCCCCCCCCUCAACACAUGUGUCAUUACCCUCCAGCUAGGAUGGAGUUGUUUUCUGUACACAGGUGCUCAGCAAACACUCACAAAAAAAGUUUGCUAUUUUCCCCUCCCCACACCGCUGCUUCCUACUGACGCCCCCUCCCUGGCCUUUCCUUUCCCUUCCUCUUCCUCCCUUCAGACGCCAACCGUGUCAUGGGAAUCCUGUUAAGCUGUGUGUCCAUUCGACCCAUUUUCAGCCACUGGAGGAAAACACACAGCUCAGUCCACAUCACACUGCAGAAAAACUGCAGGCCCGGCAUUUGAAUCCCGCCUCUCAGAUAAAUAUUUUAAAAGUGGAGAUUAAACACAUCAAAGGAACAGCAGCAGAGACGGUGGGAUAAACGCACGUUCGGCUGAACGUGACAGCAGCGCCGGCUCAGCGCAGACACUCCAGUUUUCUCGGUAGUUUAGUGAAAACGAAGACGAUGGCGCUCAUCGUGUCUGCGGGGCUAUUAAAGGAAACCACAACCUUUGCAUCACCGCCUCUCCUCGCUCGCUCCUGCCGGCUUCUCGUCACUCGAGGUUGCACGCCAACAAGGGUGGUAACGUGCUUUGGCAUGGAGGUGCUCCACGCAGGCCAAGACAAACACAGCAGCGCACACUGACAGACACCGAGGCUUGUGAAACAGCACAGCUUGUCGUUUUUGUGGGAAAUUACCUUCAAAGUUAAUAUUUCUCACCUUUAUAACCACAUAACACAGAAACGACCGGCACACCUGACGUUAGAGCAGUUUUAGGGAAGACGUGUCUCUGUGUGAGACAAAUAUGGAUUUUUCAAAAGCUCUUUACUACCCGACAGGUAAUAAUUUAACAUGUACUGCAUGUCUCAUUAAAGAGCUGCAAUAAGCAGACAGUAACUAUCCAGCUGCUCAGAGUUUGAGGUAGUUUAAUUCGAGCGCUUCGACAGACACCUUCCCUUAAACUGCUGUAUGAUUGCAGCAAAUAAUCUAACGUCAAAAUAAAAAAGACAUCUGACACUCGUGACCACAAAACGGCAACUUCCCCAAAAAAGCUGUGAAAAUAUCAGUUUUUUAAAAACGACUCGUAUUUAAUGAUACUUUUGGGAUUUUAACCCUUUAUAGAACAGCAUGUUUGCACACCCGUACAGCUGCUGAUGUUUAUUAUUAAAACUAAAAUUAUUUCAAUAAGUAGUAUAGGAUUCUUGAGAUAGGUCAUUGGCAGCAACAUUUCAUAUAUUAUUACAAUAUUAACCCUUUAAAGAGGGACUCCAGCUGAGGUGGAGCAAACGCACAGGCUGGUCUUUGCAUGGAAGCUUCCGGCGCUGCUGCCAGCUCUGCUCUUUCUGUCCGUGCAAAAGUAACACCGCUGAUGAGAGGGGCUCGCAGCAGCACCCUGCAGAUUUAAACGGAUUCAUUUUUUGACCUGUUAACACAAACGCAGUUAGUCUGUGUCCACAUAACCCACUGAGUGAGUCCCGUGCAGGUUUGUCAUGGCCACAGUUUGCUGCAGGAUUUCAUGCAUCAGCAGCAGUGCAGAGCUGUGGCAGGAGGUGUACGUCCCAGGAUCAAACCUCUGGCUGCUGGGACAUCGCAGGGCGUUGCAGUCUGAGUGCGAGACCAAAACAUGGAGAUGGAGAAGUCCAUCCUGUCACUGAGUCAGGGUUGGACUCUAGCUGGUCUGUUUCUACCUGGCAAAUACGAGUUAUAGUCAUUUAGCACAGACAAAAUAGCACGAAGAUAAACCACACAAUGUCUCCGGGAUCAUCCGAGGCUGAAACAAAUAAAUAUCAGAUAAAUGCAGAACUGCCCACUGUAAGAAACCACUACAGUGAGGUCAGGUCUGUCAAAGACCUAAAUCGGAUGAGAUAAGCCGCAUAUUCUAAUUAUGUUAGCUAUAAGCUUUGUAAUAACCAGAUACUCCAGCCUUUUUAUUUAGCUAGAAAUUGUUCACUCAUUAGCUAAUAUUAUCUACAGAGCUAGCAGUAGCUACGACCCAACAUACACCGUCUGAUGAGCUAACGAUAUCAUCCCAGGUAAACAAUGUUUCCCCAGAAGAUCUGUUAUCAAUGAUUUUACCUACUCAGCUAGCAACCACAGGCUAAUGAAGUACAGUACAGUAGCUAACUUCAUGGCUAUCGUUUCUGCAAUGCUAGCAUAUAGUAACAUUUAAAAGAAAGCAAUGCUAAUAAACUCAAUGUUUAUUGAUAGAGUUAACCAAAGAAACAGCACACACGCUAAUUUUGCUGACACAUUGCAACUAGCUUCUCAAGUAUUCUGCUGACUAUUAGCAAAACAAACUGAAAGACUGACACUCUGUAACAUUAACAGUCAAAAAAGCAACAUUGAUUCAGAUAAAUUCAGCUUAUUCAGUUGAAGGCGGCGUUAAUUCACAACUAUUCAUGUCUAAAAAUGUUAUUCAUCUCUUCAAGUCCUCGACUGAAAGAGAGAAAAUGCUACGGAGGACCAGACAGAAACAGCGAGCGACUGUAUUUGAUCAGGAUGAAAAUAUGAUGACAAAGCUGUGGCUCAAUAGAUCUGGACAGACAAGUGUUACUCUAAUCUAUAUUUUGAAAAUGAUCUCUUAAGUUUGUCAUUUCCCCGUCUGUGAUAAUAAAAAUGUCAUCACGUA
Molecule: long non-coding RNA, 5338 nt
Organism: Astatotilapia calliptera (eastern happy)
Lineage: Eukaryota; Metazoa; Chordata; Actinopteri; Cichliformes; Cichlidae
Source: Ensembl